UACGAAGGGGGCUAGCGUUGCUCGGAAUUACUGGGCGUAAAGCGCACGUAGGCGGCUUCUUAAGUCGGUGGUGAAAUCCUGGAGCUCAACUCCAGAACUGCCUUCGAUACUGGGAAGCUCGAGUCCGGGAGAGGUGAGUGGAACUGCGAGUCUGGGAAGCUCGAGUCCGUGAGAGGUGAGUGGAACUGCGAGUGUAGAGGUGAAAUUCGUAGAUAUUCGCAAGAACACCAGUGGCGAAGGCGGCUCACUGGCCCGGUACUGACGCUGAGGUGCGAAAGCGUGGGGAGCAAACAGG
This 295-nucleotide ribosomal RNA is filed under the name uncultured bacterium. RNAcentral describes it as "partial 16S ribosomal RNA". It matches the Rfam family "Bacterial small subunit ribosomal RNA", at positions 524 to 776 of the family's 1533-position model. The record is from RNAcentral.